AUGAACGCUGGCGGCGUGCCUAAUCCAUGCAAGUCGAGCGAACGGACGAGAAGCUUGCUUCUCUGAUGUUAGCGGCGGACGGGUGAGUAACACGUGGAUAACCUACCUAUAAGACUGGGAUAACUUCGGGAAACCGUAGCUAAUACCGGAUAAUAUUUUGAACCGCAUGGUUCAAAAGUGAAAGACGGUCUUGCUGUCACUUAUAGAUGGAUCCGCGCUGCAUUAGCUAGUUGGUAAGGUAACGGCUUACCAAGGCAACGAUGCAUAGCCGACCUGAGAGGGUGAUCGGCCACACUGGAACUGAGACACGGUCCAGACUCCUACGGGAGGCAGCAGUAGGGAAUCUUCCGCAAUGGGCGAAAGCCUGACGGAGCAACGCCGCGUGAGUGAUGAAGGUCUUCGGAUCGUAAAACUCUGUUAUUAGGGAAGAACAUAUGUGUAAGUAACUGUACACAUCUUGACGGUACCUAAUCAGAAAGCCACGGCUAACUACGUG
This 496-nucleotide ribosomal RNA is filed under the name uncultured bacterium. RNAcentral's name for it is "partial 16S ribosomal RNA". It matches the Rfam family "Bacterial small subunit ribosomal RNA", at positions 29 to 507 of the family's 1533-position model. The record is from RNAcentral.